AAUUUAACCAAAAACACAUAUACCGACUUACCGCUAAAAAAGACAACCACAACCUCGAAUCAAGCUGUUGGAGCAAAGCUCGUUGUUUCACCGCCUUCACCCACGCCACAGAUUUGUAGAAAGAAAAAUAACUUCCUUAACUACACCACUAUGCAAAUUAAAAAGAAAAGGAAAGUGACCCAAAACGAAUCUUCAAAACUUACCCAAAUAAAAGAGGAACCACCGGAAAACCACAUCGAAACAAUUGGCACAAUCGAUUUUCAAACGGAGUAGAGAGAAAAGACAAGAAGAAGAAAGAAAAGGGAGAGAAGAGCUAACGUCAGAAAUAUUUUUAAGAAAGGGAAAAUAAAAUAAAAUAAAAUAAAAUUAAAAUUGCACAUAAUCCCCACUCCCCCACUAACCACUAACCACUAACAACCUUAUCCCACCAAAUCAGACACACUAACCACAUCCAACUACCUCAGACUCUCAACUCCACCGAACUUCUAUCAGACAACCGAA
This 501-nucleotide long non-coding RNA is filed under the name Gossypium raimondii (Peruvian cotton). RNAcentral's name for it is "long non-coding RNA (GRAI_LNC007690)". Lineage: Eukaryota; Viridiplantae; Streptophyta; Magnoliopsida; Malvales; Malvaceae. The record is from RNAcentral.